CUAUGAACGAGGUCUUACCACCUAUCGGCACGUCGGUGUCGCUGGCCACGACGAGACGCGGCUCCGCCGCGGACGCGAAACUCCAACGAGGAAUUUCACCGACCACCACUGCUCCUCCCGCCUAAAUCCUCCACAGUCACGACACACGUAGCCAGGAGAGUCGCCCAGACCACACGCAGACCCCGGAAUGGCGGUGUAGGCGCGCGGCAACGGCGGUGGCUCCCGGUGGUUUCGGCGGCGAUAUUUUUGGUGGCCAAGGUAAGCAGAGAAGGAAGGAAAGGAGGGAGGAGGGGGUCGUCC
RNAcentral lists this long non-coding RNA (300 nucleotides) under Zea mays. Its description in RNAcentral is "long non-coding RNA NONZMAT001224". The record is from RNAcentral. Lineage: Eukaryota; Viridiplantae; Streptophyta; Magnoliopsida; Poales; Poaceae.